RNAcentral lists this ribosomal RNA (492 nucleotides) under uncultured bacterium. RNAcentral describes it as "partial 16S ribosomal RNA". It matches the Rfam family "Bacterial small subunit ribosomal RNA", at positions 29 to 507 of the family's 1533-position model. The record is from RNAcentral.
AGUGAACGCUGGCGGUAGGCCUAACACAUGCAAGUCGAACGGCAGCACAGUAAGAGCUUGCUCUUACGGGUGGCGAGUGGCGGACGGGUGAGGAAUACAUCGGAAUCUACUUUUUCGUGGGGGAUAACGUAGGGAAACUUACGCUAAUACCGCAUACGACCUACGGGUGAAAGCAGGGGAUCUUCGGACCUUGCGCGAUUGAAUGAGCCGAUGUCGGAUUAGCUAGUUGGCGGGGUGAAGGCCCACCAAGGCGACGAUCCGUAGCUGGUCUGAGAGGAUGAUCAGCAACACUGGAACUGAGACACGGUCCAGACUCCUACGGGAGGCAGCAGUGGGGAAUAUUGGACAAUGGGCGCAAGCCUGAUCCAGCCAUACCGCGUGGGUGAAGAAGGCCUUCGGGUUGUAAAGCCCUUUUGUUGGGAAAAAAAAGCAGCAGGUUAAUACCCCGCUGUUCUGACGGUACCCAAAGAAUAAGCACCGGCUAACUUCGUG